ACGGGCGGUGAGUGCAACUGACGCUGAGGCUCGAAAGUGUGGGUAUCAAACAGGAUUAGAUACCCUGGUAGUCCACACAGUAAACGAUGAAUACUCGCGGUUGGUUCGUUAGAGUCAGCCGCCAAGCGAAAGCGUUAAGUAUUCCACCUGGGGAGUACGCCGGCAACGGUGAAACUCAAAGGAAUUGACGGGGGCCCGCACAAGCGGAGGAACAUGUGGUUUAAUUCGAUGAUACGCGAGGAACCUUACCCGGGCUUGAACUGCCAGUGACUCAUGCAGAGACGCAUGUUUCUUCGGACACUGGCGGAGGUGCUGCAUGGUUGUCGUCAGCUCGUGCCGUGAGGUGUCGGCUUAAGUGCCAUAACGAGCGCAACCCUUCUCCCUGUUUGCCAUCGGGUUAAGCCGGGCACUCCAGGGACACUGCCAUCGUAAGAUGUGAGGAAGGUGGGGAUGACGUCAAAUCAGCACGGCCCUUACGUCCGGGGCUACACACGUGUUACAAUGGGCGGUACAGAAAGCAGCUACCCCGCGAGGGGAUGCCAAUCUCAAAAACCGUUCUCAGUUCGGACUGGAGUCUGCAACCCGACUCCACGAAGCUGGAUUCGCUAGUAAUCGCGCAUCAGCCAUGGCGCGGUGAAUACGUUCCCGGGCCUUGCACUCACCGCCCGU
RNAcentral lists this ribosomal RNA (669 nucleotides) under uncultured bacterium. RNAcentral's name for it is "bacterial SSU rRNA". It matches the Rfam family "Bacterial small subunit ribosomal RNA", at positions 724 to 1397 of the family's 1533-position model. The record is from RNAcentral.